Long non-coding RNA from Leptidea sinapis, 1921 nucleotides. RefSeq lists it as uncharacterized. The transcript is spliced from 3 exons. Lineage: Eukaryota; Metazoa; Arthropoda; Insecta; Lepidoptera; Pieridae. The record is from RefSeq and is a predicted model, not a curated record.
AUUAUUCCUUACAUUAAAUACUUUCUUUUUAGUACCUAUGAUUUACUGAACGCAGUUACAAUGCAAUAAUUGCGAUUUUGUACAACCAAAUCUUUAAUUGACCUAAUAGUGACCGUUAAGAGUUUAUGGAUAAUCUCGAUUUUGACACGUUUCCUUAAAUCAAAGAACGUGCCACGUACCACAAACGGCGGGGUAAAUAUAGAUGAAAGAUUGGUGUUGCUUUUAAAAUUACCAGAAUAAGGCUGUCGGUGUGUUCUCGGCGAAAGUACUGUUGUUUAUUGUUAUUUAUUUUACUUGUGUGUACUGUUGAUGUAUCAUUAAGAAUAAAUAAAUAAAGGUAACAAGGAAGUGCGGGGUGCCGCGACCGACGGCUCCCGUGAUUGAUCGGUCCGAUGUGACCUGGUUCCAGCGAAAGGUAACGUAUACGUGAUUGAUAGGUCCGAUGUGACGUGAUCUCAGUGAAAGACUGUAGACGUGAUUGGUCGGUCGGAUGUGACCUAGUCUCAGAAAAAGGUAACGUAUACGUGACUGAUCCGUCGUAUGUGACCUGAUCCCAGCUAAAAGUAACGUAGACGUUAAUGAUCGGUCGGAUGUGACGUGGUCUCAGCGAAAAGUAACGCAGACGUGAUUGAUCGGUCCGAUGUGACGUGAACUCAGUGAAAGACUGUAGACGUGAUUGGUCGGUCGGAUGUGACCUAGUCUCAGAAAAAGGUAACGUAUACGAGACUGAUCCGUCGUAUGUGACCUGGUCUCAGCGAAAAGUAACGUAUACGUGAUUGGUAAUUCCGAUGUGACGUGAUCUCAGUGAAAGACUGUAGACGUGAUUGGUCGGUCGAAUGCGGUAACGUUUACGUGACUGAUCGGUCGUAUGUGACCUGAGCUCAGCGAAAAUUAAAGUAGACGUUAAUGAUCGGUCGGAUGUGACGUGGUGUCAGCAAAAGGUAACGCAGACGUGAUUGAUCGACCCGAUGUGACGUGAUCUCAGUGAAAUAUUGUAGACGUUAUUGGUCGGUUGCAUGUGACCUAGUGUCAGAAAAACGUAACGUAUACGUGACUGAUCGGUCGUGUGUGACCUGAUCUCCGCGAAAAGUAACGUAGACGUUAAUGAUCGGUCGGAUGUGACGUGGUCUCAGCGAAAGGUAACGCAGACGUGAUUGUUCGGUCGGAUGUGACGUGGUUCCAUCGAAAGGUAACGUAUACGUGAUUGAUAGGUCCGAUGUGACGUGAUCUCAGUGAAAGACUGUAGACGUAAUUGGUCGGUCGGAUGUGACCUGCUCUCAGAAAAAGGUAACGCAUACGUGACUGAUCCGUCGGAUGUGACGUGCUCUCAGCGAAAAGUAACGCAGACGUGAUUGAUCGGUCCGGUGUGACGUGAUCUCAGUGAAAGUUAACUUUAUUUGUACUAUAGUGAUGUAUCUGUUUGUUUCCUUAAUAAAUAAAUAAAUGAAAGACUGUAGACGUGAUUGGUCGGUCGGAUGUGACCUAGUCUCAGAAAAAGGUAACGUAUACGUAACUGAUCCGUCGUAUGUGACCUGGUCUCAGCGAAAAGUAACGUAGACGUUAAUGAUCGGUCGGAUGUGACGUGAUCUCAGUGAAAGACUAGACGUGAUUGAUCGGUCGCAUGUGACCUGCUCUCAGCGAAAGGUAACGUAGACGUGAUUGAUGGGUCCGAUGUGAAGUGGUCUCAUCAAAAGGUAGGUCACAAAGAAUCGUGUAUGCACGGUUUCAGUGAUUAUUUAUGUCUUAAUGUGACCGGCACCCGUGAUUGGUUGGACGAAUGUAACGUUAUCUUGGUGCGGCGCAGAUACGCAACAUGACGACGAUAUUUGUCAAAAUUUUUGUUACAUGAAGAGUGAUUUUGAUAAUAAAGGUGAUUGUCGUGAAACUUUAACUGUGGCCGAUUAUAUAAAUAUUAUUUUAA